This 253-nucleotide ribosomal RNA is filed under the name uncultured bacterium. RNAcentral describes it as "partial 16S ribosomal RNA". It matches the Rfam family "Bacterial small subunit ribosomal RNA", at positions 524 to 776 of the family's 1533-position model. The record is from RNAcentral.
UACGUAGGGGGCAAGCGUUGUCCGGAUUUAUUGGGCGUAAAGCGCUCGCAGGUGGUUCGUCGCGUCGUGCGUGAAAGACCCCGGCUCAACUGGGGAGGGUCGUGCGAUACGGGCGAACUGGAGGCCAGUAGGGGGAUGCGGAAUUCCGGGUGUAGUGGUGGAAUGCGUAGAGAUCCGGAGGAACACCUGUGGCGAAGGCAGCUCGCUGGGACGUUACUGACGCUGAGACGCGAAAGCGUGGGGAGCAAACAGG